This 403-nucleotide ribosomal RNA is filed under the name bacterium. Its description in RNAcentral is "partial 16S ribosomal RNA". It matches the Rfam family "Bacterial small subunit ribosomal RNA", at positions 355 to 776 of the family's 1533-position model. The record is from RNAcentral.
UGGGGAAUAUUGCACAAUGGGGGAAACCCUGAUGCAGCGACGCCGCGUGAACGAAGAAGGUAUUCGUAUCGUAAAGUUCUGUCCUAUGGGAAGAUAAUGACAGUACCAUAGAAGAAAGCUCCGGCUAAAUACGUGCCAGCAGCCGCGGUAAUACGUAUGGAGCGAGCGUUGUCCGGAAUUAUUGGGCGUAAAGGGUACGCAGGCGGUUUAAUAAGUCGAAUGUUAAAGAUCGGGGCUCAACCCCGCAAAGCAUUGGAAACUGAUAAACUUGAGUAGUAGAGAGGAAAGUGGAAUUCCUAGUGUAGUGGUGAAAUACGUAGAUAUUAGGAGGAAUACCAGUAGCGAAGGCGACUUUCUGGACACAAACUGACGCUGAGGUACGAAAGCGUGGGGAGCAAACAGG